GUUGUAUGGUUAAGUGACUAAGCGUACACGGUGGAUGCCUUGGCAGUCAGAGGCGAUGAAAGACGUAGUAACUUGCGAUAAGCCCAGAUUAGGUAGUAACAACCAUUUGAGUCUGGGAUUUCUGAAUGGGGAAACCCACUUACAUAAGUAAGUAUCAUUAACUGAAUACAUAGGGUAAGGAGGCGAACCGGGGGAACUGAAACAUCUAAGUACCCCGAGGAAAAGAAAUCAACCGAGAUUCCGAAAGUAGCGGCGAGCGAAAUUGGACUAGCCCUUAAGCUUUACACGCGUUAGACGAACGGUCUGGAAAGUCCGACGAUACAGGGUGAUAGUCCCGUAGUUGACGACGUGUGUUCAGUGAAAUCGAGUAGGGCGGGACACGUGAUAUCCUGUCUGAAUAUGGGGGGACCAUCCUCCAAGGCUAAAUACUACUGACUGACCGAUAG
RNAcentral lists this ribosomal RNA (446 nucleotides) under Vibrio parahaemolyticus. Its description in RNAcentral is "bacterial LSU rRNA". It matches the Rfam family "Bacterial large subunit ribosomal RNA", at positions 1 to 490 of the family's 2925-position model. The record is from RNAcentral. Lineage: Bacteria; Pseudomonadati; Pseudomonadota; Gammaproteobacteria; Vibrionales; Vibrionaceae.